AUGCGCUACUACCUGCCCCUCUUCGGCUCCUUCGACAACUUCCUCCGGGCGCUCCAGCGCUCGUCCUGCCUACUCUCGUCGGACCUCGGCAAGGUGAUCAAGCCCAAUGUCGUGUUCCUGCGGGAGUGCGGCCUAAGUGACUGCGAUAUUGUCAAGCCGAGUGUCCCUGUGUCGAGGAUGCUGACCACCAACCCGGAGCGCGUCCGUGCGAUGGUGGCAUGUGCUGAAAGAUUAGGCGUGCCGCGUGGCUCUGGGAUGUUCAGGCAAGCGCUGCAGGCUGUCGCGUUUCUCAAUGAGGACAAGAUCGCCGCCAAAGUGGACUACUUGAAGAACACCUUCAGGUGGUCUGCUGCUGAGGUGGUCAUUGCUUUGUCUAAGGCUCCGAUACUGCUCAGGAUUUCUAAGGACAUGCUACAGCGCAAGUCCAAGUUCCUGCUAUCUGAGGUGGGGUUGGAGCCCAUGUACAUUGCUCAUCGACCGAUAAUUACUUGUCUUAGCCUGGAGGGCCGGGUCAGGCCCCGGUACUAUGUUCUCAAGUUCCUCAAGGAAAAUGGAUUGGUAGAUCGCGAGCUGAGCUUCUAUACUGCAGUCAGUACGCCUGAGAAGUAUUUCGUGGACAAGUACAUAUGCCCUCACAAGAAAGCUGCACCACACCUCGCUGAGGACUAUGCAACCGCUUGCAAAGGGGAGAUACCAACUAAUUUCUUGUUUAGAUGA
RNAcentral lists this ribosomal RNA (717 nucleotides) under Triticum aestivum (bread wheat). RNAcentral's name for it is "partial small subunit ribosomal RNA". The record is from RNAcentral. Lineage: Eukaryota; Viridiplantae; Streptophyta; Magnoliopsida; Poales; Poaceae.